Triticum dicoccoides is the source of this 1411-nucleotide RNA transcript. RefSeq lists it as uncharacterized. Lineage: Eukaryota; Viridiplantae; Streptophyta; Magnoliopsida; Poales; Poaceae. The transcript is spliced from 7 exons. The record is from RefSeq and is a predicted model, not a curated record.
CCAACCCUCCUACCUCACGGAUUGCGGCGCCGCCGACGAGUCACCGAGCGAGAUGGCGAGCUCGGCGCUGAGGCGAUCUCUUCCACGGCGCGGCUCGCUCCGCCGCCUCCUCCCUUCCCACCCACCACCCGCCGCCACCUCCUCGUUCCGUCGCUCCUUCCAGUCCGAAGAGGGCGCGGCGGGCGAGAGCACGGAGGACUUUGAAAAGCGGAUGUUUGGGAACCAGAGGGAGCCGGAUGCCAACUCGUUCUUCGGGAAGCUCGAUGGGGUUGGGAGCUCCUUCGGAGGAAGACAUGGCACCGGCUCUGGGAUGGGUGCCUUCAGUCAGCAGGGUGGGAUGGGUAACUUGUUUGGUGAGAGGAGUGUUCAUGGGAUCAUGGAUGGUUUCGACUCCUUGAACGAUGGCAUGAACGAGAAGUUGGACGACGCGGCCCGCACCUUUCACAUGACGGAUGAGGUUGAGGACGAUGACUAUGAUUUCAGGCCAGAUGUGAAUUACAGGCGAGGCUCGACUUACAAUGUCCGGGAUCUUGACCUAACAAAACCUGCAGCCCCAAGGAAUCCUCCUAGACCUCAGUUUGAAACAUCUACAAAGGAAGUUUUAAGGAAAGCUGAUUUUAGGAAUGUUAGAUUCCUUGCCAACUUUAUUACAGAGGCUGGCAUUAUCAUCAAGAGGAAUCAGACCAAGAUAAGUGCAAAAGCUCAGCGCAAGGUGGCGAGAGAGAUUAAAACAGCGCGUGCACUGGGGCUGAUGCCUUUCACGACGAUGGGCAAGAGACCAUUCAUCUUUGGCAGAAGUGCGGAGGAGGAUGCUUCAGAAGAGGAAUAUGGGUAUGAUUUUGUCCAGAAGGAUGCUGGACCUGAAGAUACUGCUGGCGAUGCUGUGCCCGAUGUGGAGACUGCGUAAACAAUCUGGAGUAGUAGGAACUAUGGUGACUUGUGGAUCUAUCACUGAUUUACCAAAUUUUUGAUGUUUUCGCUCUUUAUGAGGGUAAGCUUACUCCAGAUGUGGAAGAUCAGUUGGAGAGAACGUGGUUCCCAAGUUAGCAACACUGUAGACGUCAAAUAUGAUUAUGCUGCAGUUUCAACUACGUCUGAACAACAGUAGAUAUGUGUUUUUCAUAUGUACUCUACUCCCGAAGUGUAAAAAUAGCAUCGAUCAGAAUAUCAGGAGCCCCAGCUUGCACGGUUGUGUAUCAUUGCCUGCUAAUCGACGUUCGUAUGUGGUUGUUCCUGAUCAAAACUUCCUGAUCAUAUCUUGUACAGGAAGGAAAAAUGUAUAUCAGUUCCCUCAUCAACUCUUUGUGCUCUAGUUUUUGGGAACCUCCAACAGCCUAUACCUCCUCCUGCACCUGGAAAGACCGUAGCCUAUGUAACUGGACGGGGAUAUAUUGAGACUGCAUCUGCUUCA